This 100-nucleotide transfer RNA is filed under the name Salipiger bermudensis. RNAcentral describes it as "tRNA-Ser". The record is from RNAcentral. Lineage: Bacteria; Pseudomonadati; Pseudomonadota; Alphaproteobacteria; Rhodobacterales; Roseobacteraceae.
GGAGACGUGGCCGAGUGGUCGAAGGCGCUCCCCUGCUAAGGGAGCGACACAUUCGGGAAAAGGCUCUAUAAUCAGAGCCAUAGAAUCUUUCCGCCUUUCA